This 361-nucleotide ribosomal RNA is filed under the name uncultured bacterium. Its description in RNAcentral is "partial 16S ribosomal RNA". It matches the Rfam family "Bacterial small subunit ribosomal RNA", at positions 338 to 696 of the family's 1533-position model. The record is from RNAcentral.
CCUACGGGUGGCAGCAGUGAGGAAUAUUGGUCAAUGGACGCAAGUCUGAACCAGCCAUGCCGCGUGCAGGAAGACGGCUCUAUGAGUUGUAAACUGCUUUUGUACGAGGGUAAAUCCCGAUACGUGUAUCGGGUUGUAAGUAUCGUACGAAUAAGGAUCGGCUAACUCCGUGCCAGCAGCCGCGGUAAUACGGAGGAUUCAAGCGUUAUCCGGAUUUAUUGGGUUUAAAGGGUGCGUAGGCGUGUCGGUAAGUUAGAGGUGAAAUCACGGGGCUCAACACCGGCACUGCAUUUGAUAAUGUCGGGCUAGAGGUUAGUGGAGGUAGGCGGAAUGUAUGGGGGAGCGGUGAAAUGCAUAGAGA